CCUGUCUCAGAUACUUACCUGUAUAUACCUGUGGGAGGAAGAAGAAAAAGGUGUGUCCACCUAGAAUAAUUUGUUUGCUGGAAGUUCUGUUGUUGGCAGAAAAUGGAAGCUACAAACUAGUGUGGUUAUCAGCAGGGAAUGGGAUCAAAGUUUCAGUCCAACAAGUCCAGGCAACUUUCAGCUUGAAGGCCAAGGUGUUACUACUUAGAAUUUAGGGCACAGAAGGCUGGUGUGUGUCGGCAGUGAUAUUUGGGAGAAUGAGUCUGUUUGGGAGACACUUUAGGUCAUACCAGCAGCUGCUGACAUAUGAACCUCGCAGAUGAAGAUGCCAUAGCAUGGCUAUUUCUCGACUGCACUGCUGAAGAUCUGCACAGGAAGCACAAAGCUCUGGUUACCACUGGAAGCCGUCUUGCCCCCAUAAACCAGCCUUAGGAUGCCACUGAUGCUGUAUGGCAGAAUGGAGUAACAGAGAGAAUUUGCAGAAUAAAGAAGGGACAAUGCAGUCACCAGGUCAGCAUUAAGGGAAGGCUUGGCUGCAUCAUCUGCCACUCUGCUGCUGCUGACUCUGCCAGUGGGGACAGCACAUGCUUCCUUCUACGCUUGCCUGAGGUUCGUAACUUCAGAGCCCCACAGCAUUUCUGGAAGGAGUAAAAUGAGCUACAUGGUCCGGGAAGCUACUCCUAAGUAGAGUUCACAAUCAAAGGAAUAGAAGCUGGGGAAAACAAUAAAGCAGUCUUCUUCUUCUCAA
This 748-nucleotide long non-coding RNA is filed under the name Homo sapiens (human). RNAcentral's name for it is "HSALNT0322919". The record is from RNAcentral. Lineage: Eukaryota; Metazoa; Chordata; Mammalia; Primates; Hominidae.